This 253-nucleotide ribosomal RNA is filed under the name uncultured bacterium. RNAcentral's name for it is "partial 16S ribosomal RNA". It matches the Rfam family "Bacterial small subunit ribosomal RNA", at positions 524 to 776 of the family's 1533-position model. The record is from RNAcentral.
UACGGGGGGGGCAAGCGUUGUUCGGAAUUACUGGGCGUAAAGGGCUCGUAGGCGGCCAACUAAGUCAGACGUGAAAUCCCUCGGCUUAACCGGGGAACUGCGUCUGAUACUGGAUGGCUUGAGGUUGGGAGAGGGAUGCGGAAUUCCAGGUGUAGCGGUGAAAUGCGUAGAUAUCUGGAGGAACACCGGUGGCGAAGGCGGCAUCCUGGACCGGCAUUGACGCUGAGGCGCGAAAGCGUGGGGAGCGAACAGG